This is a long non-coding RNA of Zingiber officinale, 246 nucleotides long. RefSeq lists it as uncharacterized. The transcript has 3 exons. The record is from RefSeq and is a predicted model, not a curated record. Lineage: Eukaryota; Viridiplantae; Streptophyta; Magnoliopsida; Zingiberales; Zingiberaceae.
GCUUUGACUCCUCCGGCCAUUUAGAGCAGUCCCACUCCGAUCUUGAGAGGGACACCUUUGCCCUCCUCUUCCGAUCCAUGUCGUUGCUGCUGGCACGGACAUCCCCCCAGUUAUUUGCUACCAGUGCUGGGCGUUGAUUGGAGACGAACGUCUCGACGGGGAUUGUUUAGCUUGAUCUACAUUAAAGAUAAAGGAUUUAUGGAGUCGCCUGGAGAACUUGUCCACUAAUCCCACAUCACAUUCGAG